UGAGGAAUAUUGCGCAAUGGGCGAAAGCCUGACGCAGCCACGCCGCGUGGAGGAUGACACCCCUAUGGGGCGUAAACUCCUUUUAUGUGAGAAGAAGGUCCAAGUCGCUUGGAAUUGACGGUAUCACAUGAAUAAGCACCGGCUAACUCCGUGCCAGCAGCCGCGGUAAUACGGAGGGUGCAAGCGUUGUCCGGAAUCACUGGGUGUAAAGGGUGUGUAGGCGGGACUAUAAGUCAGGGGUGAAAUCCCACAGCUUAACUGUGGAACUGCCCUUGAUACUGUAGUUCUUGAGUCUCGGAGAGGUUGCUGGAAUUCGUGGUGUAGCGGUGAAAUGCGUAGAUAUCACGAGGAACACCAGAGGUGUAGACGGGCAACUGGACGAGUACUGACGCUGAGGCACGAAAGCGCGGGGAGCAAACAGG
This 422-nucleotide ribosomal RNA is filed under the name uncultured bacterium. RNAcentral describes it as "bacterial SSU rRNA". It matches the Rfam family "Bacterial small subunit ribosomal RNA", at positions 355 to 776 of the family's 1533-position model. The record is from RNAcentral.